Non-coding RNA from Peromyscus maniculatus bairdii (prairie deer mouse), 495 nucleotides. NCBI's taxonomy places the organism in Eukaryota, Metazoa, Chordata, Mammalia, Rodentia, Cricetidae. The record is from RefSeq and is a predicted model, not a curated record.
GCAUCACCUGUUGUGCCUCUGGAUGUAACUGGAAGUCACAAGUUUAGCAUCCAUCAUGUCUGGGCCACUUAACUAUGGUGCAUUUAUCCAUAAAUUAUUCAGGCUACACUGAAGGACCCGGUCCCAGGUGUUCCCCGAUCUUCUCUUGGGAACGUAUUAAGUGGUUAUACAUUGAUUUGAAUUCAAGUUUUUCUAGGAAAGUAUGUAGGUUGCCAGAGGUUUUCCUGUUGUGUUAGUCUGUCUUAAACAACAAAACGAAACAGAUUUUAAUACAUUGUAUCUUUGCAAUCUAUUAACCUUUAUAGUCUAGUCCACUAAUGGAAUACUAAGGACCACAUCUUGCUCUGUUCUUUUUCUGACUUUUAAAGCCACAUACUGAGCCUGAUUCAGUUUCUUUAACGUGUCUAUUGCUACCUUUUUCUGUGACGCUCCAGCUGCACCAUAGAAAUUUCAUGUGCGCGUGUUUCGCCUAAACAGAAUGUUGGUGGAACUCUG